GGAGAGGUGGCCGAGUGGUUUAUGGCGCACGCCUGGAAAGCGUGUUUCCCGGAAACGGGAUCGGGGGUUCGAAUCCCCCUCUCUCCG
Molecule: transfer RNA, 87 nt
Filed under: Flavobacteriales bacterium
Lineage: Bacteria; Pseudomonadati; Bacteroidota; Flavobacteriia; Flavobacteriales
Description: tRNA-Ser
Rfam family: tRNA
About the family: Transfer RNA (tRNA) molecules are approximately 80 nucleotides in length. Their secondary structure includes four short double-helical elements and three loops (D, anti-codon, and T loops).
Source: RNAcentral